AUUAUGUCUACUCUAAUGCUGUGUUAUGUACUUUAAUCAAUUGACUAUAGCCUCGCUUGUAGACAAGAGCAAUCUUGUUUUAUUAUCCUGGCGCUUGAAGUAAUAGAACAUUUCAAUGUGCCCGAGAAACGUAGAACUACAUUU
Lucilia cuprina (Australian sheep blowfly) is the source of this 144-nucleotide small nucleolar RNA. It matches the Rfam family "Small nucleolar RNA psi28S-1192". Rfam says of the family: psi28S-1192 is a member of the H/ACA class of snoRNA. This family is responsible for guiding the modification of uridine 1192 to pseudouridine in Drosophila 28S rRNA. Lineage: Eukaryota; Metazoa; Arthropoda; Insecta; Diptera; Calliphoridae. The record is from Rfam.